RNAcentral lists this long non-coding RNA (200 nucleotides) under Lathyrus oleraceus (garden pea). Its description in RNAcentral is "Pisum sativum (pea) long non-coding RNA (PSAT_LNC037988)". Lineage: Eukaryota; Viridiplantae; Streptophyta; Magnoliopsida; Fabales; Fabaceae. The record is from RNAcentral.
UUGUCCAUAAGAUCUAACAAUAGUGAAAAACUCUUACUACGUAAGAGGACUGGAGUACUCUCGGAUUGUGAGGGGAACCAGGAUAUAUGAUUGUGUCUUUUAUCUUUCCGCACUUUACCGCUUUCAUCACUUAGCAAUUAACCGAAAAAAAUAAUCCUAACAAAGUCUAAAAACCGAAAAAAAUUCAAAGUACAUAAUUC